AGUUUACUCACUCAAAAGUUUAUUCUUCCAUUCAUUUCCUUUACUUUUUCAGGAAAAGUGAGGGAGAGAUGCUGCAUUCUAUCCCCGAUUUCCAGUUUUGGGGGAGCAGGAGAUCUGUUUACUAGGUAGCACAGUAUUUUCUCCUGCUACACCUUGGCAUGUGAUUGUACACUAUAUACACAGUGAAUGUCAGGGUAUAACCUCAUAGCACCUGAUACCAGUCUGUUUUUAUGUGGUGACGGACUUAUUGAGAGUACCUCCACCCACCACACAACCUUAUUGCAAUAUCUGGGUGGUGGACUGACAGCAGUUACUCUGCUUGGCAUCCAUAGAUUACAUGGUGAGAAAUGCUUAGACACAGUCCUAACACCUGUC
This is a non-coding RNA of Pelobates cultripes (western spadefoot toad), 375 nucleotides long. The record is from the annotation of a GenBank genome assembly. Lineage: Eukaryota; Metazoa; Chordata; Amphibia; Anura; Pelobatidae.